UCUACCCUUGGAACAUAACGAAGAUCUGAUCUAAUAUAUGCUCCUCUUCAUAGACUAUGGGAGGGUUAUGUUCCAGGGUCUUCGUUAUGUUCCAAGGGUAGAUUAUGAUCUAUGGACUCCUCAUCCCGAUCAUGCAACAAAUCCCGUACGUUUGGGUAAUAAUCGAUGUUAUCAUAAUAUAAAUUGUCAUCAUCUUCUGAGACUGCACCAUCAUUUAAAGCAGCAAGAGCUGCCUCAAUUUCCUUUUCAGAUAGCGAGCCAAACAUGCUGAAAAGAAAAGCCAAAUAAACAAACCAUAGAACAAUUUUACGGCAUACAAACGCAUGGUGUAGACAUUUGGCUACAUACUGUUAAUUUUCAAAAAUAUACUUUUUUUUCGUACUAAGAUUUUUUUUAUUAUUUUUCCCCUUAUCUGUGACUAAAAAUCCAAUUGAAAUAUUUUUUUCAUAACUAAAUAAAAAAUCAUGCAUUUAAGGGUUAAUAUGAAAGGAAUAAGCGUCGACAAACAUCACGUGCGGGUACAAGUCGCCAAUUUGAGUUCUUUUUCUAUUAUUAUAAACCGCUUAUUCAGUCUGUUAUAAUAGAACUGUUUUGCAUUACAACAAAACAGUUAUUAUGUGUAGAAUAAAACACAGCGUUCUGUUGAGAGAGCUGUCUAUGAUCUUUGCCUUAUUUUAGUCUAUGGUAUAAGAAAACUUACCAAUUGUCUCUGCUUUAUCAUCUAGUUUACCUUCUUCAUACACCAGCUGGCACCACUUUCUAUGGAAAUUGGUGAUCUGUCAACUUGACAUUUCAUAGUCGUCCAACACCAGCAAGCACUUGCUGGAACGCUGUGUUUUAUUCUACACAUAAUAACUGUUUUGUUGUAAUGCAAAACAGUUCUAUUAUGUGCCUUAAUAAAACACAGCGUUCUGUUGAGACCUGUUUGUUAUCUGCUGGUGUCAAGCACAAACGCUAUGUGAUAUAAAAUGUAUUAAGAAUGAAAGAAUAUAAAGAAGUUUAAUAUCACAAUACAAAAUAAUACAUUAAACAACUUAUUGUACUCUCUGAGAAGCAGACGAACCAAUAAGAAACUUAUUAAACAAAUAACCAGUCUUUAGGUUAAAUAACUCAAAUUAUUUAGGACAUCUCCUUGAGAUCAACAUUAUGUCAUUAACUUCUUAUCAACCAAUAAAAUCAUUCUGGUACUUAUGGUCUCUGCAGUAAUAUUUCAUAAAGGUAUACAUACCCCCACCUCCAAUUAAAUAUUGGGGGUCUUAUCAACUACUCUCUUGUCCAGCCAGUAUCUGGAUGUUACUGCAGACCAAACACUUCAUGGAGAAGCAAAUAUUCACUGCACUUCUUGGAGAAGUAAUUAUUCACUAAAAAUGAUCUUAAUCCAAUUUGUAAUAUUUGACCUGGAAAACAGGCGUUAUCAUAUUGUUUAUGGAAAUAAACAAAUUUCACACAUAACUCUGGGGUCUCCAUUAAAAUGAAGUCUUUAUCAGCUCACUAAUAUGAAACUACAGGACAUAAUUAUGCGUUCAUCUGGGUGCUUAGCAGUCAGAGACAGUCUGUAGGUGGUUGAAUCAGAUUCAGAUCCAAAUAUCAGCCAAAAUGCUGACGUCAUGUCUAUAGCGGGGAGGUUCUGGGCCCCCCCCCGCAAAACAACCCUAGAUACGCCAAUGUCACAAUGUGAUCAUAUUCUGAUACUUCAACAAAGUAAUCCUGUAAUGUGUCCAAAGAAAUGAGAUCAUGGAUUCUUCGAUCUGAAGCAAGAAGAAGAAUGAGAGCUGUUUAUCAAGUAAAAUUCAAUGCUAGAAGAAAAUCCAGCAGCCGGCAACCAGUCAAAUUAAUUCCAGUAAUUUAAUACUAAAGACCGGUGAUCUCGGUGUACUUGGCCUUGCAAGUGAAAUGGCCUUAAGGAACUGAUGUACAAAAGGUAAAGGUAGAUACAACUGACCUAAGUAUCAGUUUUGUACUGCAAGUUUUUGCUGUAAAAACAGCUUGGCUAACAGCAGCGCUAUAGUAACGGCGUAAAACAUCUUUCAUCUUCGAAUCGGUAACCCAAAAAUCCUGGGGGGCACCAGACCAGACCAUUCUGGGGUGCCAUAGCCCCCGGGGGGGCGGAUAUAUAUGGGGGGUACGGACCGCCCCGCGCGCCAAGCCACGCUACGCCGCCACUGGCUACCACAUCACUACCAGUUGGUAACUUGUGGUCAAUGCUGUGAGAUUGACCCACAUAAUGCAUCUUAUGAUUGCUCCUUCCACCACCAAUUUUAAAUUUUGGAGAGAUAACUUAUCUACUUGUUGUAGACUAGGGUCUCUAACAGAUCCUUUAUUAGCACUGGGGCCGAUGUUAUUAGAAUGUAUGUUCCGUCUGCCAUUCAAGUAUGGUAACGUCUGUAGCUGGGAGGUGAAAACACUCAUCCAGCUGAUAAUCCCAGAGACGGCUGAAGGGCGUCAUAAAGAAUCAGAGUUCUGAUCUAUUUGCCUUAAUGUGGUACAAAAGAUGGAUAAUACUAUUUAUUAGCUAAUUUUCAAUUAUAAUUUUACUUGUUUAUUUAAGGAACACAAACAGUAUAAUUUUAUUUAAUAUUUAACAUCCAUCUUUUGAGUCCAGUGUAACAUAGUUAAUACUACUGCCGUGGCCCUGGAAGCCAAUAAGUCUAUUUUGGGACACCCCUACAUAAUGAAUAUAGCCUCUGUGGCCGGGGGUACUAAUGGAUUCUAACUGGAACAAACAAGUCUCUGUCUGCGACUCCCCAUACACUGAGUAUGGCCUCCGCGGCCUGGGGUACUAAUAUAUUCUAAAUGGAAGCAAACAAGUCUCUGUCUGGGACUCCCCAUACACUGAGUAUGGCCUCCGCGGCCUGGGGUACUAAUAGAUUCCACCUGGGUACUACUCGACCCUUUGAUGUUACAGGUGGUCUGGGAUACCGUGCCUAUGGCCCGGUCUGCAAUCCCAUCUCCUGGUAGAUAACAAGCCGACAGCGUCAUGUCGAGCUGUUCGGUCAAGUUCAUGAGCUUGGUGGUCAAUUUGAGGAGGGCCCGUGAUCGAGUACCUCCUUCGUUUCUGACUGUGUCUGUGUCAGAAUGUGACCUUCAGGAGCUUGGUGGUCAAUUUGAGGAGGGCCCGUGAUCGAGUACCUCCUUCGUUUCUGACUGUGUCUGUGUCAGAAUGUGACCUUCAGGAGCUUGGUGGUCAAUUUGAGGAGGGCCCGUGAUCGAGUACCUCCUUCGUUUCUGACUGUGUCUGUGUCAGAAUGUGACCUUCAGGAGCUUGGUGGUUAAUUUGAGGAGGGCCCGUGAUCGAGUACCUCCUUGUAUCAGGAUGUGAACUUCAUUCAAUCGAUCCUGAUGACUUAAUGCUACAUCUCCAUCGCAUUGGAGUGUCAUCAUCACUAGUAAAAAUAUAUAUGUAUUUUUCAAAAGUAAAUGCCAACAUUACAUUUUAGGUGUGCGUUGUAACACUGACCUGUAAAAUUUUUGUAAAGUACUGUCUAUUUUCUUUCUCUGACCUUUAAUCUACUGUUAUAAUAAUAUUUUCGAAAAAAAAAAAUAAUAAUUAGCAACCCUAGUUGAACGCCCCACUACGCAUCCGCUGCGUCUGUGGACUUGGAAGUCUGCGACUUCUUUUCGCCGCAACGGCUUUGAACUAAAGUCUAUGGCGUCUAUUCCUCUUAAAAUCCUCUCAGAAACAGCUGUAUACUAUUGUGUAUUUAGUUGACAUUGACAGUUUAUAAUAUUGUAACUAAUUGUGGGUAUACAAAUAAUAAAUCAGUUAUGCUUUGACUUGA
Molecule: long non-coding RNA, 3779 nt
Organism: Ostrinia nubilalis (European corn borer)
Lineage: Eukaryota; Metazoa; Arthropoda; Insecta; Lepidoptera; Crambidae
Exons: 2
Source: RefSeq, a predicted model, not a curated record